RNAcentral lists this unclassified non-coding RNA (660 nucleotides) under Hevea brasiliensis (rubber tree). Lineage: Eukaryota; Viridiplantae; Streptophyta; Magnoliopsida; Malpighiales; Euphorbiaceae. The record is from RNAcentral.
AUGUACUGCUGAAGAAGCUUAUACUUGGAGUGAGGGUCGCGCUGUUUUUGCCAGUGGAAGUCCAUUCCCUUCUUUUGAAUACGAUGGAAAACUCAACAUUCCUGGCCAGGCAAAUAACUGUUACAUAUUCCCUGGUUUUGGUUUUGGCUUGGUCAUGUCUGGCACAAUCCGUGUGCACGAUGACAUGCUUUUAGCAGCUUCGGAAGCUCUGGCUGCUCAAGUAACCGAGGAACAUUACGCCAAGGGAAUGAUAUACCCUCCUUUUGCUGAUAUCCGAAAGAUCUCAGCUCACAUAGCUGCUAGUGUUGCAGCCAAAGCGUAUGAACUUGGUGUGGCAACACGUCUUCCUCGACCUGCAGAUUUGGUGAAGUAUGCUGAAAGUUGCAUGUAUACUCCUAACUACCGAAGCUACAGAUGAUUGAAUUGAUCAUAUCACGGGGGUUAAUCUUGUAUGCACCAGAGAGUUAUAAUAGUUCAUUUCGAUCUGUCUUUCUUGUAAGCUUGUGUUCUGUAUUAAGCUUUAUUUUUUGUUCAGAAUUCGAGUUUGUUACGUUGUUUAGUAAACUUGUUAUUCAGUGUGUUUCAUUUCAUAGCCAUAAGAGCUGUAAUAAUUUGAGGAGUCGUGAAGGUGAAUAAAUUGAGUUGUUAAUGUUAUACGGA